UACGGGGGGGAGCAAGCGUUGUUCGGAUUUACUGGGCGUAAAGGGCGCGUAGGCGGCGUGACAAGUCACUUGUGAAAUCUCCGGGCUUAACUCGGAACGGUCAAGUGAUACUGUCGUGCUAGAGUACAGAAGGGGCAACUGGAAUUCUCGGUGUAGCGGUGAAAUGCGUAGAUAUCGAGAGGAACACUAAGGGCGAAGGCAAGACUCUGGACAAGUGCUGACGCUCAUGCACGAAGGCUAGGGUAGCGAACGGG
Molecule: ribosomal RNA, 254 nt
Filed under: uncultured bacterium
Lineage: Bacteria
Description: partial 16S ribosomal RNA
Rfam family: Bacterial small subunit ribosomal RNA
Source: RNAcentral